AAGAUCAGCCAGACGUGGGCUGAGAGUGAAGAGUAUAGGGGCCCUGCUCUGGUUCAGUGGAGGGAACAGUGCAAGGGUCCAGCCCUCAGCUGGAAAGAAUGGUCCCUCUCAAGGAGUGGGCACUGCUCUCCUUUGUUUGACCAUCCCGCAGAGAAAGCGUGAGGGAGCCACAGCCAGCUGGUGUGGUCUCAGGAAAGGCACAGACCUCACAGGCGGACAGACUGGGUUGAAACCUCAGUUCUGUGUUGUCUCGAGUGUGCCUUGGAAAGAAGGUGUACAGUUUUCAUCAGAUUCUCAAAGUUGUCUUAAUCUUCAGCAUGUUAAGAAUCACUGUCUUGGAGAUAAGCUAUAUCGUCCACCUCAUUUCACCAGUCGAGAAACUGCCCACCGCCUCCCAAACCUGAAUGAUUAAGCAACUUGCCUGACAUUCUCCAUGAGUGUAAGGCAGAUCCCAGGCAUGGCCAAAAGUCGGUAGACUUUCAGGAACAUAGGAAUUAGAACCAUCCCCACCAACACCAGUAUCCUCUGGACCUUUCAGGCCAACGAUAGACACUAAAUUUAGUUUUUAAAAAUAUUGGUUUUCACCAUAACUUGUAAGUGGCUCACUGACAUUGUUGAGGAGGCAGGAUUGCAUCAGAGAAACACUGCAUUACUCGGGUUUACCAUCACCCACUUGGCCCUGAUUUAGGACAGAGGCUGCGUAUGUGCACGAAUAAACACUCCCUUCCUCCUGUACUGCAUCCUGCUCACGAGUUUGGUGCCUGUGGCAAGUGUUUGGUCUCCUUUAAUGAAGCCCUGGAGUUGGGGAGAUGCUGUCUCCUUUUGUUUCGUGGAGGAGUGCUGCCAUAUCUAGCCCUGAGAUCUGAAACCUCUACCACAGUUCUCGUCCAACACGGCUUUCAGGUGCGGGGCGUUUGCACAACAGUCUCUUGGACGAUAAUGGAGAAGAUAGAAUUUCACAGAUCAGAAGGAAGUGGCAUGAGUGGAAACCUGCAGAGGUUGAGUUUCCAUGCUCUUCCGCCCUCACCUCAUCUCCACCCCUCUCCGGGUCUGUCCGUGGGAUGCUUGUCCGCACACGUAACUACAAACUGCAAAGUCUGUAAGUAUUUGUUGUCAGCGAUCCACCAAUUAACAUGUAUUCUCCAUAUACAGUGUGUAAACUGCUUUGUCUUUAGCUAAGUGAGAGUAAAUAAAGUUGGAUUUAAAGGUUAAACUCUGUCAGCAGUUGCGUGCCCUUGAUUCUCUUUUCUGGCAAACCUGGGAAAAAUUGCCCAAUUCAUCCAUCUCGCUCUCCAAACAACGUGUUUAAUUAUCACUAACUCUAGGAGUUGAUGAAGUCCUUUCAUUCCAACA
RNAcentral lists this long non-coding RNA (1353 nucleotides) under Equus asinus (donkey). RNAcentral describes it as "lncRNA (ENSEASG00005029677.1, ENSEASG00020027016.1)". The record is from RNAcentral. Lineage: Eukaryota; Metazoa; Chordata; Mammalia; Perissodactyla; Equidae.